RNAcentral lists this transfer RNA (77 nucleotides) under Rikenellaceae bacterium. RNAcentral describes it as "tRNA-Val". It matches the Rfam family "tRNA". From Rfam's summary of the family: Transfer RNA (tRNA) molecules are approximately 80 nucleotides in length. Their secondary structure includes four short double-helical elements and three loops (D, anti-codon, and T loops). Lineage: Bacteria; Pseudomonadati; Bacteroidota; Bacteroidia; Bacteroidales; Rikenellaceae. The record is from RNAcentral.
GGACUGGUAGCUCAGUUGGUUAGAGCGUCUCUCUUACACAGAGAAUGUCGGGGGUUCAAGUCCCUCAUCGUCCACAA